This 229-nucleotide long non-coding RNA is filed under the name Gallus gallus (chicken). The record is from RNAcentral. Lineage: Eukaryota; Metazoa; Chordata; Aves; Galliformes; Phasianidae.
CCUCCAUGUCUGCUGCUGACAUAGCUUUGAUGGAGCAGCUGAUGAGGCCUCCACGGUUGUGCACUUUCAACACACGCUCAAAGAGGAGGUUUCGUUUGGCUUCAUCAGUGGUGUAGUCCCCUUCAGUCAGGUCGAUAGGUUCAGAGACCCCACCAGUAAAGUCUACCAGAGCAUCAGCUGUGUUGCCUCCAUCCAGGGCCUCGUAACAUCCUGACAACUUGGCAUAAGC